This 253-nucleotide ribosomal RNA is filed under the name uncultured cyanobacterium. RNAcentral describes it as "partial 16S ribosomal RNA". It matches the Rfam family "Bacterial small subunit ribosomal RNA", at positions 524 to 776 of the family's 1533-position model. Lineage: Bacteria; Bacillati; Cyanobacteriota. The record is from RNAcentral.
UACGGGGGGUGCAAGCGUUGUCCGGAAUCAUUGGGCGUAAAGCGUUCGUAGGCGGCAAGGUAAGUCUGAUGUUAAAGCCCGGGGCUCAACUCCGGUUCGGCAUUGGAUACUAUCUAGCUAGAAUGUGGUAGAGGUAAAGGGAAUUCCUGGUGUAGCGGUGAAAUGCGUAGAUAUCAGGAGGAACAUCAGUGGCGAAGGCGGCCACCUGGACCGGUAUUGACGCUGAGGCGCGAAAGCGUGGGGAGCAAACAGG